Molecule: long non-coding RNA, 595 nt
Organism: Alosa sapidissima (American shad)
Lineage: Eukaryota; Metazoa; Chordata; Actinopteri; Clupeiformes; Clupeidae
Exons: 3
Source: RefSeq, a predicted model, not a curated record
GAGACACACGCAUUUUGAAGUUCAAGUUGUGUCGGAAAACAAAAUUGGAUCUCCGGGAUUAUAACAGCUUGCUCCGGCCUCCUCCAGCAUGCAUCUUUUUGCGAAAUACAUUCUCAUCCUCCAAAUUAUUAUCCUUUUUGUGACAACCUGCCAGACUCUGUUAUGCAUUCCUUGUCAUAAAGUGACAUGCAAGGAUCCAGAGGAUUGCAAAGGGGGGCUGGUGCGUAGUAUUUGCGGGUGCUGCAAUGUUUGCGCCAAGGUGAAGGGAGAGGACUGUGGCGGCCAAUUGGAUCUGCGCGGGAUAUGCGACCAGGGGCUCAAGUGCGUGUACCCGCCCUUCCACUCGUUUAGAGUGGACGUGUUUGGAGUUUGCCAAGUAUCAGACUAGUUGAAGAAGAGAAUGAAAGUCCUUACAUGGAUUCAAGAGGAGCCCAUCCAUGGUCUACCCAACAUGUGAUUGGUGUGAAAGGAAAAUCUCUAGACACUACAUUAACCAGCUUUGUUAGCUUACGCUUGCUGGUCAUUGAAAGACCACUGUACCACACCACAAUACAAAAAGUCAAGACUGAUUCAAUAAAACACCGGUAAAACAAAG